UGGGGAAUAUUGGACAAUGGGCGCAAGCCUGAUCCAGCCAUGCCGCGUGAGUGAUGAAGGCCUUAGGGUUGUAAAGCUCUUUCGCCGACGAAGAUAAUGACGGUAGUCGGAGAAGAAGCCCCGGCUAACUUCGUGCCAGCAGCCGCGGUAAUACGAAGGGGGCUAGCGUUGUUCGGAAUCACUGGGCGUAAAGCGCACGUAGGCGGAUUGUUAAAGUCAGGGGUGAAAGCCUGGAGCUCAACUCCAGAACUGCCCUUGAUACUGGCAAUCUCGAGUCCGGAAGAGGUAAGUGGAACUGCGAGUGUAGAGGUGAAAUUCGUAGAUAUUCGCAAGAACACCAGUGGCGAAGGCGGCUUACUGGUCCGGUACUGACGCUGAGGUGCGAAAGCGUGGGGAGCAAAACAGGAUUAGAUACCCUGGUAGUCCACGCCGUAAACGAUGGAGGCUAGCCGUUGGCGAGCAUGCUCGUCAGUGGCGCAGCUAACGCAUUAAGCCUCCCGCCUGGGGGAGUACGGUCGCAAGAUUAAAAACUCAAAGGAAUUGACGGGGGUCAUAGCUGUUUUCCCU
This 567-nucleotide ribosomal RNA is filed under the name uncultured bacterium. RNAcentral's name for it is "partial 16S ribosomal RNA". It matches the Rfam family "Bacterial small subunit ribosomal RNA", at positions 355 to 940 of the family's 1533-position model. The record is from RNAcentral.